AUGAGGACGGGCUCUGGCUGCCCGGCGGUCCUGCCUGUGGUAGGUUGGGUCGCGCCUGUGGGAAGAAGGAGGUGUGGGAUGGCAGUGGCUGCGCUGCCACCAGCAUCCCUUGUGGUGCCGGCACACCCAGCCCCACCUCAGCGCCAGGUCCUUGGGGCAAAGAGGUGCCUGGCCCAUGCGAGUCGCAGCCAUCCCAGGCCUCAGUUCUGCCCCGGGGAACCCCCCAGGGCAGGAGGACCUGGGCCUGAGCCGCGGAUGCUCAGGGCCUGGCCUUGCGCCCCGGUGCCGUGCCCCGCCGCCUGGCGCUCUCGCUGCUGUGUCGGCCCUCUCCCUCCCUCCCUGUCCCGCACCUGGCGGCGCUUUUGCACGCUCGGCAGCCCUUCGUCGGGCUGGGAGCGGGCCUUCGCCUCUUGCUCCUUCGACAUCUCUCUGUCCUCUCGCAGAGACAAAGAAACAGGCACCCAGGGCAGCUGCUGCCUCCUGACGGCGCUGCACUCCUGGGAGUGGGCACCACGGGGGCUCGGGCCCCACAAGGCACACCGUCACCAUGGGGACACUUGCCCUGUCACAAUGGUCUUGUGGCCUGACGCCGCCCCAUGUCACAAAGCCCUGGUGCUUGCUGUGGAGCCACCUUGCUCCCGGCAGCCUCCCGCCGAGACACUGGCUCACAGCAGUGUGGGGGUCAGGAGGCACCUCUGGGCUCCCCUAGUCCAGGCCCGCUCCGUCAUCUUGGCGGUCCUCUGCCGGACAUUUUCCCAGCGGCGCCAUCACCAUCCCUCACGGGCUCACUCUUGCCUGCACUGGGGCUGUUGGAAGUGCCUGGAACCAUGCCGUGUCUGGCACGGGGCAGCCCCUCAUCUCCUCUCACAGAGGCCACCCUGUGGCCUCCCUGUUGACAAGCCCUUGCCAAAUGCACCCCGUCCAAGCGAAUGCUCCAGGCCUCAGCCCUUUCUUCCUUUGGCAGCUCUCCAUGCUCUCAUUCAGGGCUUCAGCCAGCAUGGCUUCCUGAAGGCAAAUGGUGCCUAA
Molecule: long non-coding RNA, 1026 nt
Filed under: Anser cygnoides (Swan goose)
Lineage: Eukaryota; Metazoa; Chordata; Aves; Anseriformes; Anatidae
Description: lncRNA (ENSACDG00005017767.1)
Source: RNAcentral